AUCCAGUUGACGAGUUCUAACCAGGACGAAACGCUUGUCCUGGAU
RNAcentral lists this non-coding RNA (45 nucleotides) under Schistosoma margrebowiei. The record is from RNAcentral. Lineage: Eukaryota; Metazoa; Platyhelminthes; Trematoda; Strigeidida; Schistosomatidae.